AGAGUUUGAUCCUGGCUCAGAGUAAACGCUGGCGGCGUGCCUAAUACAUGCAAGUCGAACGGGGUACUUGAGCAAUCGAGUACUUAGUGGCGAACGGGUGAGUAACGCGUUGGUGACCUGCCCCAAAGCGGGGGAUAACAGCCUGAAAGGGUUGCUAAUACCGCAUAUGGUCUAAAGGGCUUAGAAGCUUUAGAUUAAAGGAGAAAUCCACUUUGGGAGGGGCCUGCGUCCCAUCAGCUAGUUGGUAGGGUAAAAGCCUACCAAGGCGAUGACGGGUAGGGGACCUGAGAGGGUGACCCCCCACAAUGGAACUGAAACACGGUCCAUACACCUACGGGUGGCAGCAGUAGGGAAUAUUGCACAAUGGGCGAAAGCCUGAUGCAGCAACGCCGCGUGAGUGAUGAAGGCCCUCGGGUCGUAAAACUCUUUUCAAGAGGAAGAGGAAGGACGGUACUCUUGGAAUAAGCCUCGGCUAACUACGUGCCAGCAGCCGCGGUAACACGUAGGAGGCGAGCGUUAUUCGGAUUUACUGGGCGUAAAGCGCGUGUAGGCGGCUUUAUAAGUUGGAUGUGAAAGCUCCCGGCUUAACUGGGAGAGGACGUUCAAAACUAUAGAGCUUGAGUACGAGAGAGGAAAAUGGAAUUCCGGGUGUAGUGGUGAAAUGCGUAGAUAUCCGGAGGAACACCAGUGGCGAAGGCGAUUUUCUGGCUCGAGACUGACGCUCAGACGCGAAAGCUAGGGUAGCAAACGGGAUUAGAGACCCCGGUAGUCCUAGCUGUAAACGAUGUAGACUUGGCGUUGGUGGAGUAAAAUCCAUCAGUGCCGCAGCAAACGCGAUAAGUCUACCGCCUGGGGACUACGGCCGCAAGGUUAAAACUCAAAGGAAUUGAC
RNAcentral lists this ribosomal RNA (891 nucleotides) under uncultured bacterium. RNAcentral describes it as "bacterial SSU rRNA". It matches the Rfam family "Bacterial small subunit ribosomal RNA", at positions 8 to 914 of the family's 1533-position model. The record is from RNAcentral.